AUGUUUAAAUCCCUCCCUUCCGCCUGAGCCCCCACGUGGGCUGGCAGGGUCUUUGUGGGAGAAGCUGCAAAGAGGGAGCUGAGUUUGCAGGUAGGUUCCCUGAAUGCAGGGCGCUGUUUUGGGCAGUGAGACCCCCUCCCGGUCUGUGAUGACUAGCCCACUGCGCAAUCUGAAGAAUAAUAAUAAUUAUAAACCAUAUGAUAGAAGCAGUGCUGUAUUAUAAUCUGAGACCAGGAGCUGCCAUACAGGGGGUCCCCCAGAACUAUCUCCCAGGGAUCUGCAUGUUGGUUUGUGUAUCCCAUCAUGCAGUUAAAGUUAAUUGUCGGUUGGGUUAAUGUAACUGGAAAUGUUAUAAUCAUUCUGGAUCUGCAGACUAAAACUAUUAAUGUGUUUAUUUCCUUUCCCCACAGGUGUACUAGGAGAGCUCCGGUGUUAUAUCAAAUUUCCCUACCAACGCUGAUCUGUGAUCUCAACUUGCAAGAUUUUCAUAACUUGUCAAUGUCCUUGUUUGUAUUUGUCGACUUUUCUGUUCUCUGUCAAAGCUUUUAUUACUUAUUUUAUUAAAUACACACGUCAUUUAAAGGAACACUCAAAGCACCAUGAUGUCUACAGCUUGCAGUAGUGUUUAUGGUUCUAGUAGUGCGGGGGGCAGGGGUGCACAACACCACACACUAUCCACUACAGGCAGGGCUGGUACAGGGACCUUUUGGUUAUACAGGUGAAGAUGCUUUUCCCACCCCAGUAAAAAAAUCCCUGGGAAGUUUUCGCACCAGGGCCCCUUGGUUUCUAG
Non-coding RNA from Pelobates cultripes (western spadefoot toad), 790 nucleotides. Lineage: Eukaryota; Metazoa; Chordata; Amphibia; Anura; Pelobatidae. The record is from the annotation of a GenBank genome assembly.